GGUUUGGCGAGGGCGGGGGGUGGGGGCUGCCCGACGAACGGCACUCUGUGCGCAGGCGCACCUUCCCCAGACCCGGCUCCGCGUCUUAAGUCAGUGGGAGGUGAGAAGAGCCAGCCCGUGGUCCUAGACUGUGGGAAACCCAGGCGUGGGAAGCGUGAGGGGAGGAGUAUCACCGCGGGCGCCCAAGGCCGGUUUGUGGGAGUAAGGACGGGGAGAAGCAAAAGUUGUGCCCAGACAUGAGGAAGACGUCCAGAUGUCUCACCGCGGCGAUGCGCGCCGCCAGGAUGAGUGGGACGUUCCGGAGCUUCGCCACGGAGUGCUGCGUAGAUGGCGGUGGGGCCAUGGCCCAGAGACCUAUGUUAGGUGAAAAACUGGGUUCUGCUUAAGAUUUUUGUCAUUUAUUACUAUGGAAUCUUUUAAAGGUUGCCAAAGGAUGUGAAUGGAUGGAGAGAAUAAACUGUAAAGGAAAACAGCUUUUAAGAGCAACGUUUCUCAAAUUAGGUUCCACAGAUGGGAAGGAUCCUCAAGUUCCCUGCCAGACUGUUUAAACUUUGCGUUUUAAGUCCAUGGACAAAUUAAUUCUACAUCAUCUAUACGACUUCUUAAUUUCAGAGCCCAAGCAUGUUUUUUGUUCCUGUUAGUCUUCCUUUAAUUGUGUGGACCAAUGAGAAACUAACAGAGUUAGAAUAUGUCAAAGGAAAACAAAAGGUACACUAUAGAAAAGUUUUUGCAGUUGUUAGAAUAAAGUAAUAAAGGAUU
Aethalodelphis obliquidens (Pacific white-sided dolphin) is the source of this 759-nucleotide long non-coding RNA. RefSeq lists it as uncharacterized. The record is from RefSeq and is a predicted model, not a curated record. The transcript has 2 exons. Lineage: Eukaryota; Metazoa; Chordata; Mammalia; Artiodactyla; Delphinidae.